AGUGAACGCUGGCGGUAGGCCUAACACAUGCAAGUCGAACGGCAGCACAGUAAGAGCUUGCUCUUACGGGUGGCGAGUGGCGGACGGGUGAGGAAUACAUCGGAAUCUACUUUUUCGUGGGGGAUAACGUAGGGAAACUUACGCUAAUACCGCAUACGACCUACGGGUGAAAGCAGGGGAUCUUCGGACCUUGCGCGAUUGAAUGAGCCGAUGUCGGAUUAGCUAGUUGGCGGGGUAAAGGCCCACCAAGGCGACGAUCCGUAGCUGGUCUGAGAGGAUGAUCAGCCACACUGGAACUGAGACACGGUCCAGACUCCUACGCGAGGAAGCAGUGGGGAAUAUUGGACGAUGGGCGCAAGCCUGAUCCAGCCAUACCGCGUGGGUGAAGAAGGCCUUCGGGUUGUAAAGCCCUUUUGUUGGGAAAGAAAAGCAGCAGGUUAAUACCCCGCUGUUCUGACGGUACCCAAAGAAUAAGCACCGGCUAACUUCGUG
This 492-nucleotide ribosomal RNA is filed under the name uncultured bacterium. Its description in RNAcentral is "partial 16S ribosomal RNA". It matches the Rfam family "Bacterial small subunit ribosomal RNA", at positions 29 to 507 of the family's 1533-position model. The record is from RNAcentral.